Ailuropoda melanoleuca (giant panda) is the source of this 3265-nucleotide RNA transcript. RefSeq lists it as uncharacterized. The record is from RefSeq and is a predicted model, not a curated record. NCBI's taxonomy places the organism in Eukaryota, Metazoa, Chordata, Mammalia, Carnivora, Ursidae. The transcript has 4 exons.
GCGGCGGCGGAGGCGGGGCGUGCAGGGCGUGCGGGGCGGACGCAGCCUCCCUCCCGCGGGGGUCGUGCGUUCCCGGAGCGCGCGGGUAUGGGGAAGAGGGGCGGCCCCUGCGUCCCCGCCCCCUCCCCGCGCUCAGGGACUUCCGGGCCGCCGGGCCGCGGGAGAGGCUCUGUGACACCCUCCAAAGACCUCGGGAUCCCAACGCCGCUAAGGUGGAGGGGAAGUUCUGCAGCCCACCCCUGUCCCUCCGUGCGAACUAAUGGAAACCCGUGAACUCCCUGGAGAAGGCGGCCGGCGGACGAGACCACAGUAAGGGCUCCUAAGGCUGUCUUCCCCUCUCUCCGUCUGCCUCCCGGCUGAUUGUGGUUCUUUGCUCUGUGAACCUGCGGAACAUGCCACGCCUUCCGUCUCAGGCGUCUGUCCCGAGAGGAGUAGCAGGAAGUUCCCAAAACACACAUGUUGCACAGACGUGUGGAUGAAGAUUCACAGCCUGGAAAGCGGUCUUCUCCUGUACACGCUUCUCCUGUACACGCUUCUCCUGUACACGCUUCGAGGGAAGUGACGCAUCUGAGCAGGCGUGGGAGGUCCCAGGCCCGUUCCCAUAAAGUCGGAGGCAUCCAGACUGAAAGGAAGCUGACGGAGGUCUACGUGUCAGAGCGGGUCCGUCCGUGUCACUGGGGCCUCGCUGAGACUACAGCUGCCAGCAGGACAGGCGCGGGCAUUUCCGGUGCUGGGGACACAGGUGUCCUUGUUCCCUGCGAUGGCUGCUGCCUUCUCAUUCCCGGGUCCCCCUGCUAGUCCUGGGACGCAGAAGAUACAACAAUGACUAACAAUGCUCUGGGUACCGUUACUCUCUGUUUAUAGGGGAGAAAGCAGGUCGGAGGCUGCUUGGCUCGGAAGCAGCAAAACCGGGGUGCAAACCUAGUCCUCCGGGUUCCCAGGCAGACCAGUGGACCCCCCCAUUGCACCAGGAAAGAUGUGUCUGCCGUGUACAGAUCUCAUUUCAUUUUCCUCCCAACUAAUUGUUCUUAAGUGCUUCCUGCCAGGCACUGAUAACCGGAUGAACCGAGAUUGGAUGAAGCUAUUAAUGUCCUCCUGAGAGCGCGUGUGGUGAGCCGCAGGAUUGGGGGGGUGCUUUUCUCCCGGGACCCUGGCCUGAACCAGGUCGUGGUCGUCUCAGGCAGUGGCCCUCCCCUGGAAGUUCAGGUCCAUUCAUCUGGAGCUCAUGUCCGGGAAGCUCUAUUUGAACCGCUGCUUUGGGCUGCCGCGGUAAACAGCCCGGCUCAGGAACAGUCCGACGGGACUUCAACGGAAGCCUCACAGGGGCGAGAGCAAGCCUGUCUUUCUUUUCCUGGUCUGCAAGCCUUCACUGAGCACUCACUAGGUCUCAGUUACUUUUCCAAGUCUUAGGCAUGUAGGAAGGAAGACGGUGAGGCUUUGUUUUCAGGCUUGCUUGGGGACAGUGGACAAGUACAGGAGUAAACACAGAGGACGAUCUCUGAUUGUGGCGGCUGGUGGCCUGGGAGAGGUCGAACACGGGGGCAGGAGCCGCAGGGAGAGGGCUACCACAGCACCCUGCGGAGUGGCGUUUGCUCCGAGACAGGGUGACCGCAGGGGGAGAGUAUCCCAGGCAGCGGGGGCAGGAGACGGCCCCUCCGGAUCGAGCGUAUGGAACGGCCGACUUGGCUUCUGCGUCGAGCACGGCGUGAACAAGGGGGAGCCGUCCGCAGUGUGCUGAGACCAGCCAGCGAGCAUGACGCAUCUCACCGAAGGCCUCACAAUCAAGCGGGAGGUUUAGAUUUUCUUCUGGAGGGUGGGACGCAGGGGAGCGACAUGAUGUAAUUGUUUUCCCUGGCGUGUGCUGGUCGUUGGAUAAAGACGAGUGUCUAGGGAUCCAAAGUGGUGGCAGGAAACCAGUGAGGAGGCUCAUGGGAGCCCAGGCUAGAGCUGCUGGUGUCUCAGGCCUGAGUGGGAGAGGCGGAAGUGGGGAGAAACGUACUGGUCAGGGGUGGAGCUGCCAGGAGGCUUUGCUAGAGAUUGGAGGCUGGAUGAGUGGGAGGCUGCAGGCUAGAUGUGCUGGAGGCUGGAUGUGUGGGAGGCUAGAGGCUGGAUGUAUGGAGGCUGGAUGUGUGGGGGCUGGAGGCUGGAUGUGUGGGAGGCUGGAGGCUGGAUGUGUGGGGGCUGGAGGCUGGAUGUGUGGGAGGCUAGAGGCUGGAUGUAUGAAGGCUGGAUGUGUGGGGGCUGGAGGCUGGAUGUGUGGGAGGCUAGAGGCUGGAUGUAUGAAGGCUGGAUGUGUGGAGGCUGGAGGCUGGAUGUGUGGAGGCUGGAGGCUGGAUGUGUGGAGGCCGGGUGUGUGGAGGCUGGAUGUGUGGGAGGCUAGAGGCUGGAUGUGUGGAGGCUGGAGGGUGGAUGUGUGGGAAGCUAAAGGUUGGAGGCUGGAGGCUGGAUGUGUGGGAGGGUGGGGAGGCAGGGUAGGUCAAGGAUGGCUCCUGGGCAUGGACCUGGGUGACCGGGUGAAUGAUGAGUCACAUAGUGAUGGGAGAGCAAAGGGGGCACUGGGUCAGAUGGUGUCUCCCUCAAGUUUAGGUUUACUGACAGACUCCUCUUUUCAACGGGCGUCCACUUUGGCCCAUAAAGACUGCCAACUCUCAGCACGGAGGAUUUUGCCCACCCCGAACCCCCACACGAAAAGACUUGAACAAACACAGAGUUUCUAACCGUGAAGGCCAUGUCUCCGAUGACCCCGGCCCCUCGUAAAGUACCAGCCAGAGAAUGCACAAGGCUGCCAGGAGAACCUGGUGCCAGACAGACCCGCUCCCCUGCCGAACUUCCCUGCCCCCAGGCAGUUACUUCAGAAAGCUCAAUACAUCCUCUCUCCCCUGAUGUGCCUUCCACUUCCCAGAAGCCCUUCUCCAGGGCCUGAGAGCUGCGCCUCGGGAAUGCACACAUCCUGGGCGGUGACUCCCUGUUCUCUCCGGCCCCACGGGCACCUGUACCACCACCUCCUGUCACACAGGGGUUUGCUUCUGCAGGUGAGCGCCUGCGAACCUGUCUCUGCUGGAGCCCUGGCUCGUCCCACCCUCCCCGGCUCCCCCUGAAAUGCCUGGUCACCCCUGCACAUUGGCAUUGAACUGGGGGCCCUUUCCCUGUUGCCAUGCUUCUAACCGAAGAGUCUAUCGCUACAGCUUUUUUUUUUUUUUAAAGAUUCUAUUUAUUUAUUCGACAGAGAUAGAGACAGCCAGCAAGAGAGGGAACACAAGCAGGG